UACGAAGGGGGCUAGCGUUGCUCGGAAUUACUGGGCGUAAAGCGCACGUAGGCGGUCUUUUAAGUCGGGGGUGAAAUCCUGGAGCUCAACUCCAGAACUGCCUCCGAUACUGAGAGUCUUCGAGUCCGGGAGAGGUGAGUGGAACUGCGAGUGUAGAGGUGAAAUUCGUAGAUAUUCGCAAGAACACCAGUGGCGAAGGCGGCUCACUGGCCCGGUACUGACGCUGAGGUGCGAAAGCGUGGGGAGCAAACAGG
This 254-nucleotide ribosomal RNA is filed under the name uncultured bacterium. RNAcentral describes it as "partial 16S ribosomal RNA". It matches the Rfam family "Bacterial small subunit ribosomal RNA", at positions 524 to 776 of the family's 1533-position model. The record is from RNAcentral.